AAACAUAGACAAAAUAUCAAGACACAUGCAUACACACUUAUUCCCAAAUUCAAUAACCAAACAUAGACAAAAUAUCAACACACACACACACACACAAACUCUCUCUCUCUCUCUCUCUCUCUCUCUCUCUCUCUUAUUCCCAAAUUCAAUAACCAAACAUAGACAAAAUAUCAAGACACACACACAUACACACUCUUAUUCCCAAAUUCAAUAAUCAAACAUAGACAAAAUAUCAACACACACACACGUGACAAGUAUGCUCAAUUAGAUAUAUUUUUGUUUUUUUCCUCCUUUUUUUCUUUAGUACUAACAUCACGAAGAUCGUCAGUCAAACAUAGACAAAAUAUCAACACACACACACACACGUGAUAAGUAUGCUCAAUUAGAUAUAUUUUUGUUUUUCUCCUUUUUUUUCUUUAGUACUAACAUCACGAAGAUCGUCAGUCACCACCUUCCUCAUAAUUACUAUUCCACAUAUCAACGCUACCAUCAAUUGUUCUUCCACCGUGCCCAUGUGAAGUGAAUUUGCUGUCUGGCUGUGUCUCUGCAUCACUAUCCUUUCCAAGCAAAUCAACAUUAUCCUAAUUAGCAAUUCCAUCAUGAUCGUUGAGGUCAAAAUCUCCUGCAGCAUCUUUCCAUCAGAAUAUGCCUGGAUUCCAUGUCAUCAAUCUCCCCUCUUCUUCACUAUCAUCACUUGCAUGCGACAAAAGAUCAUCUGUGCCCAAAUCACUUCGUGCGGCCUUUCUCAUUAAGACUUUGGCUUCUUCAAUGUGCAUGUUCUGCUCAUGUAGAAUCUAUGGAAGACAUCUUCUGGGAGGCAAUUCAUCCCCUGCUAGCUGUAGAAUCUCAUCGCCAAUUAGAUGAUGCUCAUGUCGAUUUACAAAAAAGCAAAAGUUCAGCUUGGUUGCUUGAAUUUCAAUGUCCGGUGCACUAAAUGUAUAAAACUCAUACAAUUAUAUGAGACAUAAGAACCACAAAAGAUAGGCAAAUUAAAGGAUCAACACAAAAGGUUGAAACCUGAAAGUACUUAGUAGCCAAUGGUGGGCAUGGAUCACCCUGCCUGGAUACCCUGCUGUCACAGUAUGUGUUACCAACCAACACAUGUCCCCAGGCUAGAGCAACAGUUCUGGCAAAAAUAUAGUAUAUCUAGCCUUGUAAUUGAAUAAAAAUGUUUGAGUUCAAUUAUUGAGUUGAAUUUAAAUAAUAAGCCACAGCUAAUUUGUGUUAUUCAUAAAUAACAAGCUAAGAGAACUUCGCCUAUUAAUCAAAGUGACAACUGAUUUAUCUGGGUGGAGGGCAAUGGUUUCUAUCUAAGUUGAUAAUCAUUUGGCUUGAGUGGACCAAGCCAAAUUAGAUAUGAUUUUUUAUUAAUUAGUUACAACUGAAUCUGAACUAUAUCUAAUAAGUUCAACAAGACAAGAUUUAACCAUGGAGACUUGGCUAGAUUUAUGAAUGACAAAGACAAUAGGGGUAAUGACAUGUAUGUUUAGGCUAUCUUGAAUGGUACUAAUAUUUUCUAGGUUCAAGAUUGAUUAUGAAUGUGACACCUUUUGCAGGCAUAUAUUAUGGUAUGUAUUAGUUUAGUAGUCUAUUCAGUCUGGCUACACUCUGACCUUGCCAAUGCAUGUUAAAAGUUGGCAUAUUCUAGAAGUAGUCUCUUUGGUUUCUCACAGAGGAUAAGUGUGUUGCAUAGCCCAAGGUGAUUAAAUAUUGAUUCUGAACCUUGUUAUAGAGAUAAAUGUGGCCGAAAUCAUUGGGACUUCUGUGAUACCCAUUUGAUAUGUUACUUCUUGUGUUUUUAGAUACUAAAUGCACUCAAAAUAUAGUAGAAUCUAGUUGAACUUGAUUGUACUAACAACUGUUUUAUAAAUUUUGUAAUAAAAAAAAAACAACUGUUGUCUAAAUCCUUAACAAUAGUGAACUCAAAAAGGUGACACUGAUUUCUGCAAUAAUUCUGAAAAUAAUUUAACAUAUGCGUAGGCAAAUAUGAAUUCUGGCCUUGCAUUCCAUAGGGUGCUUGGUCCUUAAUUGCACUGGCGCAAUAAAAUUUAGUGGUAUUUGAGCUGUAAGUAUGAUAUAGUGGUAAUGAAAACUAUGCUAUAUAAAGAGGUAGAUAUAAGAAAUUUAAGAAGCACUUGUUUGCAUUUGAAGAUUUAUUCUUCUUGUAUCUUUAAUCUUUAUAUUUUGUUUAGAGGUCAAAGAGAAAACGAAUGCCAUCAGUAGAGAAGACAUAAUCCCUCAGGUUCUCAUCAGGGUUAGAGCUCAGGUGAGUAAAAAAUUAAAAUAUUCAAUAAUCAACUUGUAAAAAAUAUAACACAAAACAGGUAAUAUGCAAGCACUGAAUAAAUUGCAUGUUGCACCAUCAGGAGAGAAGAGAUAUCCCUCAGCUUCUCAUCAGGGUUAUAGAUCAGUUGGCUAAACAAAGAGGCAAAAUACUCAGCAAUCAACUAAUAAAGUAUACAAUAGAGAACAAGUUAGAUGCAAGCACUCUAAUAAAUACAAUGCUGAAAAGGACUUUAGGUAGCCUUCUUUGUGGCUAGCAAGGACGUAAAAUUGUUUGAACACCAAAAGAUAAAGCCUCAAUGAGACAGAAAGUCUAAUACGGUGCCCUCACCAAGCUCCACCAAAACGCACAGAUAAUGCUGGAGGCAGAACCCAAAAGUCAGCAUCCGGGAAAGCUUAUGCCAUGAUACAAGAUGCGGAUCAAAUAUCUAUCACUUAUUUGCCAUGCAUUAUUAAUAUCUUUGACAUAUGUUCGUAAUCUAAUAAACGCUUCUAAAUAUGCAUGCUGAUGAGGGUAAUAUGCAUGCAUGCUGAUGAGCCGUGUCCCUCGACCGUAGACUGCCCGAGUCCACCUCAGCGUGGCCUGCCCACCUGAGCCGUGUCCCUCGGCCGCAGUCUGCCCGAGACCACCUCAGCGCAACCUGCCCGCCUGAGCCGUGUCCCUCGGCCGUAGACUACCCGAGUCCACCUUAGCGCGGCCUGAGCCGUGUCCCUCGUCCGUAGUCUGCCCGAGACCACCUCAGCACGGCCUGCCCGCCUGAGCCGUGUCCCUCGGCCUGAGUCGUGUCCCUCGACCGUAGACUGCCCGAGUCCACCUCAGCGCGGCCUGCCCGCCUGAGUCGUGUCCCUCAGCCGCAGUCUGCCCGAGACCACCUCAACGCGGCUUGCCCGCCUGAGCCGUGUCCCUCGGCCGUAGACUGCCCGAGUCCACCUCAGCGCGGCCUGAGCCGUGUCCCUCGGCCGCAGUCUGCUCGAGACCACCUCAGCGCGGCCUGCCCGCCUGAGCCGUGUCCCUCGGCCUAAGCCGUGUCCCUCGACCGUAGACUGCCCGAGUCCACCUCAGUGCGGCCUGCCCGCCUGAGCCGUGUCCCUCGACCGCAGUUUGCCCGAGACCACCUCAACGCGGCCUGCCCGCCUGAGCCGUGUCCCUCGGCCGUAGACUGCCCGAGUCCACCUCAGCGCGGCCUGCCCGCCUGCGUCGUGCUCCUCAGCCGCGUGUUGCCCGAGACCACACCUGCGCAGCCUGCCCGCCUGCUUCGUGCUCCUCGGCUCCAUGCUCCCCGAGACCACGCCUGUGCGGCCAGCCCGCCUGCGUCGUGCUCCUCGGCUCCAUGCUCCCCGAAACCACAACCUCUGCUCGACCUGCUCUACUGAGCGUGCUCCUCGGCCGCACACUACCCGGAGUCACCGCUGCACAUCCAACCCUUCUUAGUUGCUAAACUCCACGAUUCCCACACCCCUGGCAACGGACCGGCAAAACGCCCGAUUGGGACAGUUUCUCAAAGCCGUAGCCAUGCCUCGGACUCCCGUUACAACGAAAGACGCAUAUCUUCCUUCGGGGGGGGGGAAUAUGAUGAGGGUAAUAAUGGCGACAAGACUCGGGUUGACGUCAGCUGCCCCAGAUAACGCCUCGACUGACCUGACACCACCUAGUCAAAUGGACCCGAACGCCGAUUGAGGCACAUUAAACAUCCUGCUCAGGCGCGGUCUUUCACGCCACGCCAACACCAGUGUCAGACGCUACCAGCCUGCCCCCUGCAAGCGGGCACAUCAGGAAACAGUAAGCUUCCCUAUAAAUACCCUCGCAUUCUGAACGGGAAGAGGGGGGGGGAAACACAAACAAAAAAGACUUCUUCAUCUGAAACCCCCUUUACCAUCAUCUGACUUGAUCAUCGGAGGGGUCGGGGCGAGCACCCCGACCCGACCUUUGUGCAGGUGCGAAGCCGAAGGUCCCCACCGGACGUGCAGACGAGGAGUUUUUGCCCGGAGGAAACGGCGACCCCGUCCCGAUCGGACCACCGUAAUCGACCACCUCAGCCGUCUCAAGGACCGCCCAGGGAGAUCUCCGUCAUCCGGACCCGAACCGAGCCGCGUCGGCCCCGAGGCCACGGCUCAAAGUUGUUUACACCAACACAUGCCUUAAGAAAAACCUCAAUAUACUACAACAACUAACUUAAGAUGAUAGCUUGACCGAAUGCCUAUAACUAAAACAUGCAGCAAUACAUAUAAAAAUGACUACCAAAUAUAAUGCCAUACCACUUUAGAUGGUACGAUAUAAUUCAAAAUUUAAGGAAAACAUCAUUAUCACAUAGAAAUUGUUUAUGAUGUUAUAAGAUAACACCACAAGAUCAAUGCAAACCAAUAGUUCAUAUUUUUUCAAUUUCCAAGGGAUAAUAUAACAAGAAACCAAUCCCAAAAAACUUGAUCAUUAGCAGAGUGCUAUAAUAGGUUCCAAUGAUAAGCAUCAGCUUCACAAUCAGCUUCAUUAUAUGAAUAAAUUUCAGUUCAUAUUCAUCUUCACAAGGAAAUCAAAUUAAGGUCAAACAUAACAACAUAUUGUAAAUCAAUCUAUUAUAAAGUUUAACCCCAUACUAGAUAUCUACCUACAUCAACAUGAACACUACAUGGUCCUCAAAUUUAUUGGAGGCAAAAAGCUUGCUAAAUUGAUUGAGCAUACAACAAGGAAAAAAGAAAGAUUAAAACAUGUCUUCAGCAAACAAAUGAAAAAUAAAUAACAUAUUCUAGAUUGAAUGAACAAAAACAUCGAAUGGUAGCAAAAGAGAUAACUGAAAAUAAGACGAGCAUAAAUGACAAAAGAAAGUUUAUAGAAAUGGCGGAAAAUUAAAGAAAUAGAUUGAAACAUAGGAGCCAGACAGAAACAUGAGAAUGGCAACACAAACAAGAGGCAUCUCUAUCUCUUGAAAUGAUCAGCUUAUAUUGGAGACCGAUCCAACUCCUAGUGGGAGUUAACUAAUGAGAAGCCUUUUAGCUGUCUCCCAUUGAAAUAAAUGUACACUUUUAAAUAAACAAUAUGUGCUUCUCUUUGUUUCUUCCUUUAACCUUGAGGAUAUUUUUUGUUGCUUAUAGCAUUUGAAAAUGUCUAACAAACUGUUCAAGAUUCUCCAUAAUUCAAAAAAUUAUAUUUCCUCAUAUUCAAGAUUCCUUUUAGUUGUAAAGGCUCAUGUUCAUAAUGCAUAUACAAGGAAAAUCAAGGUUUUAAAUGUCAGCUUGGCACCGAUUAUGAUAAUAGGUUGGACAAAAAUGGAACCAAU
RNAcentral lists this long non-coding RNA (5555 nucleotides) under Musa acuminata (dwarf banana). RNAcentral's name for it is "long non-coding RNA (MACU_LNC001014)". The record is from RNAcentral. Lineage: Eukaryota; Viridiplantae; Streptophyta; Magnoliopsida; Zingiberales; Musaceae.